Molecule: ribosomal RNA, 253 nt
Filed under: uncultured bacterium
Lineage: Bacteria
Description: partial 16S ribosomal RNA
Rfam family: Bacterial small subunit ribosomal RNA
Source: RNAcentral
UACGAAGGACCCGAGCGUUAUCCGGAUUUAUUGGGUUUAAAGGGUGCGUAGGCGGACUUAUAAGUCAGUGGUGAAAUCCCCGAGCUUAACUUGGGAACUGCCGUUGAUACUAUCUGUCUUGAAUACCGUGGAGGUGAGCGGAAUAUGUCAUGUAGCGGUGAAAUGCUUAGAUAUGACAUAGAACACCAAUUGCGAAGGCAGCUCGCUACACGAAUAUUGACUCUGAGGCACGAAAGCGUGGGGAUCAAACAGG